GUAAAACCAAGGUCCCUCCAGAAGAUCACUAUUCCAGUCAUGAUAUGAGAUAUACUUUUGACUCCAACAAAGGAUCAUGCAAGGGUGGCCUCAAAUCUUGAUCCAAAUCACCCACUCGUUUGAUUCUAGAAAAUCCAGAUGUGUUAGCUCCUGGCUACAUGGUCCCAGGCAAGCACAAUUGAACUUGUCCCAUCACUGUAGUAGGGGCUGUCACACACAGCACAAAAAUGGCUAAGAAGUGUCUUGAACUUGUAAAUUCAUGUGCUACUAAAUUGUGAGACAUAAUCUAAAAGGAUUAUAUGAACUGUUUCAGACUUUGGGCAGCACCAGGGCAGCUCUCUGAUCACUGGCUUUGUCCCCUGCCAUGAUUCUAACCAGGUUGGUGAAUUUUAGUGUAACAGAUUCAUCUUGUGAGCACUGGUGCCAGAUUAACUGACCACCCAGUGGAGUACUUCAGUUUAUAGUGAUAUCCUUACUCAAACCUAACAAACAUUAAUAGAAUUGUGUCCAACCUUUAUAUUUUACUUUUUUAGAUGGGACCUCCAAUGGAGAUGGACCAAGGCCAAAAUUCCACAGAGGUUGCAGAAUUGCCCCUUCCUUCAGCAAGGCAGGUUGAGGAACACCUCCCAUCCUCUCCAUCCAAACCACUACAUGAUCUUAAGCCAGGCAACUGGAUCAUGAUAAAGAAUCCCAGCAGCAGGCGAAGGAAACAUUGCCUCUGGGUGGGUCCACACCAGGUGCUGCAAACAUCUGACACGCACAUCAUGAUUGCUGAAGGAGCAACCUGGUUGGAUAGCAGCCAGUUUGAGAAGUUGUCUUAGUAUUAUGAGUGUUCUUUAACAAAUGUUCAAUAAUUUAAAUAAUAUUUAAUGUCUGUGACGGGUUCUGGGUGUGUCAGCAACAAUAAACACUUUCUGCUUGCUGUCCAGUUUCUAUCAGGCAUUGAUUCCUUAACCAAUCACAUUUCCAUCCUCUGAUUUGCUGGUCCAAGCAAAAUUGUUAGGUUUGUUAGGUUUUGGGUUUUUUCCAGGACCCAAAAGCAGGUAGAAUGCAGUGGUAAAAAGUCUAAGUUUUUAUUCAAAGAUCAAUUUGGCUCCUGGACCGCAGGGAGGCACUCAUCCGGUCUUCCGGGGCACACAAAGACCUCCAGCAUGGAGCCAACACAGGAGUCAGGUCCUGCACGUUCUACAGUCCAGCAGGGCAGCGUGGAGACCUCAAACGAGCAGGGAGAAACAGAUCAACAAGUUGCAAACAACCAAAGAAGAGGAAACAGGAGUCAGCUCUACCAUGGGAAACCACCAAAACUCUCCAACACUGGCAGACAGGCGCUCCGUCCUUAAAUAGGUGGCCUGAUGUAGAUUGCCGACAGGUGCGCCUGCCUGCAGUGCUAGCUGUGGGAAAUGAUCAGCUCCUCCACGCCCCCUGCAGGAAACACCAUACAACACACUUU
Molecule: long non-coding RNA, 1450 nt
Filed under: Takifugu rubripes (torafugu)
Lineage: Eukaryota; Metazoa; Chordata; Actinopteri; Tetraodontiformes; Tetraodontidae
Description: lncRNA (ENSTRUG00000029147.1)
Source: RNAcentral